ACAACUCCCAGAUUCUGCAAGCGAGCAAAUUACAGUUACUGUCUUCUCCCUCAUUCGAGGAGAAGUAGCAGUUAACAAUUGGACUAGAGCCGCAAUAUUGCUUCGACCUAGGACAGCCAAAACAUUUUUCUCAUCUUCUUUCAUGACUUCAAGAAGGUUAUCAAGGGCCUUAUGUUUAGCCUCCAAGUGUCCAAUCUGAAGCCGAGCAAGCAAUUCUCGUAAAUUUCCAUGUACUGCUACCUCAGGUGCCGCGGAUGUGCUUGCAACAGAUGACGGCAAAGUAACCUCACCAAGCACUCCAGACUUGAUUAAGAGCCCACAAUCACGCAAGUUCAAAUCCAAUCUCCCUGACAAUGCAUCUAAAUCACUUUGCAUCCGAAGUUUUCCCUCAUACUUCUCUUUCAUGCACUUCUCUG
This 416-nucleotide unclassified non-coding RNA is filed under the name Hevea brasiliensis (rubber tree). The record is from RNAcentral. Lineage: Eukaryota; Viridiplantae; Streptophyta; Magnoliopsida; Malpighiales; Euphorbiaceae.